UCCAAUCUCAUCUUCCGCUCCUCUCUCCAGUUCAUUCUCUUCUACUAUGCAUUUCAUUUUAGAGUUUAUAUGGUUAUUAGAUUUUGUUUUCUUAUAUUACAAAUGGGAAUUCUGUGAUCAGUAGUGGUGAGUCAGAUAGUUGCAGAUUGAGCGGCUCCAUAACAGAGUCAACAGCAGGUGCCGAUCCAUGGCGUCCUGACUGCCGCUUGGAGCCCAGAUUUAGUUAAACGGGAGAAGACCCAUGAAACUCACCGUUGUUUCAUGACACAAUAACCCGUUUAUAUUUAAUUUGUCUUAUUUCCUCGACAUUUUUUUGGAGAAUAAAAAAUGUUAAGCAAACGGUAAGACUUUUAAAGCUAACAGUUGAAAGCGGGCAUCCAGUCAGACACGGGUGUUUGUUGUUUUACAAUAGCAAUCCACCUUUUGCAUGGUGCCCAAAGCUAGCUGCUUACACGAUUGGAGGCCGCCUUUCUUUCUUCAUGGUUUCCUUCAAAUUUAAAGCAGCUAAAUAUGUAUGUAUAUAUAAAUAUGUAAUUUUUGUAUUAUUGGUAUUGAGUAAUUUGUAUUAAUGGCUCCACAAUCGAGUCAGCAGUGAGAGCCUUUUUCGAGACGCCUUGUCUGCCGCUUGGAUUCAAAAGAAAUUUACUGGAAGACUAUUGCUUGAAAUAUUUUCUAAUUUUAUGUAAGAAAUUUUACAAAUUUCAGCCUACAUUUCACCAUCAAUUCCUUUUACUUUUGUACCCUUCAUCUCGUCAGUUUCAUUAGCAGCCAUUUUUGGAGUUGAAGGUGUCUUCUGUUCCACCACAGCAUUUCCCCCUUAUUUUUUGGUCUUGCUGAAGAACUCUGAUCGGACAUUUUUUUGAAUCUUGUAAAGUCUGACUAAACAUACACAAGCAAACAAGAAAUCUAAUACGAGAGUUGUUAGAGGACAAAUUAACUGUUGUAAUAUUAAUCAUCUCAUCAUAUUAUUUAGCCUCGAAAGGAAAAUGAAACCAAAGAUGGAACUUCCACCUAUCAAUCUUAAAACUCAGAAUCAAUUAAUCAUUGCCUUUUCUCACCUUACAGAGAAUAUCAGCAGAUUGGUAUUUGCUGUGGUGUAAUGAUGUUGCGUCGAUUAUUUCGAUGAAGCAGUACCGUCUGUCUCUGCUAAAGACCUUAAGGAAGAAGAGAUGAGUGAACUGAAUUGGAAAUUUUACAAAAAAAGAAAAGAAUAAAACUGGCUCUUCUUGGUGGAAGAAAUAGAACGUUGUUGGGAGUAAAUAAUUUGAUGUUGAGAAAACA
This 1281-nucleotide long non-coding RNA is filed under the name Gossypium barbadense (sea-island cotton). RNAcentral's name for it is "long non-coding RNA (GBAR_LNC015940)". Lineage: Eukaryota; Viridiplantae; Streptophyta; Magnoliopsida; Malvales; Malvaceae. The record is from RNAcentral.